ACUCCUACGGGAGGCAGCAGUGGGGAAUAUUGCACAAUGGGCGCAAGCCUGAUGCAGCCAUGCCGCGUGUAUGAAGAAGGCCUUCGGGUUGUAAAGUACUUUCAGCAGUGAGGAAGGUGGGUAUGUUAAUAGCAUAUUCAUUUGUACGUUAGUCUGCAGAAGAAGCACCGGCUAACUCCGUGCCAGCAGCCGCGGUAAUACGGAGGGUGCGAGCGUUAAUCGGAAUUACUGGGCGUAAAGCGCAUGCAGGUGGUUUGUUAAGUCAGAUGUGAAAGCCCGGGGCUCAACCGUCGGAAUUGCAUUUGAAACUGGCAAACUAGAGUACUGUAGAGGGGGGUAGAAUUUCGAGGUGUAGCGGUGAAAUGCGUAGAGAUCUGAAGGAAUACCGGUGGCGAAGGCGGCCCCCUGGACAGAUACUGACACUCAGAUGCGAAAGCGUGGGGAGCAAACAGGAUUAGAUACCCUGGUAGCGUAG
This 475-nucleotide ribosomal RNA is filed under the name uncultured bacterium. RNAcentral's name for it is "bacterial SSU rRNA". It matches the Rfam family "Bacterial small subunit ribosomal RNA", at positions 335 to 798 of the family's 1533-position model. The record is from RNAcentral.